RNAcentral lists this long non-coding RNA (341 nucleotides) under Nicotiana benthamiana. Its description in RNAcentral is "long non-coding RNA (NBEN_LNC014762)". Lineage: Eukaryota; Viridiplantae; Streptophyta; Magnoliopsida; Solanales; Solanaceae. The record is from RNAcentral.
UCGAAUACUCGUGUAUAAUGUAUUCAUGAAAAAUUGUUCAUUACAACCAAAAUGACCUAACGAUUACCUUAUUUUCAAAUCCAAAUACCAAAUAUGAACAGUAUACUCUACUUCUUUCGUUCAACUUUAGUCCUCUCAUUCUUUGCCGGUGCACCCUUCUUCCUUGCAAGCCUGCCAGUAACCUCACUCUCACUUAUUGAACCAUCUGUUAGCUUCUUUGUGGUGUAGUCCCACAACAGAGCUCCGUAGCGUCUACGGUGUUUGUCAAUAUCAGUAAAAUCUUCCUUUGGUAUAGACAAAUCACCAUUGCUAAUAUACUCCGCAAAGGCAGCCACAAAUAC